CGGACGACGCUGGCGGCGUGCCUAAUACAUGCAAGUCGAACGAACUCUGGUAUUGAUUGGUGCUUGCAUCAUGAUUUACAUUUGAGUGAGUGGCGAACUGGUGAGUAACACGUGGGAAACCUGCCCAGAAGCGGGGGAUAACACCUGGAAACAGAUGCUAAUACCGCAUAACAACUUGGACCGCAUGGUCCGAGUUUGAAAGAUGGCUUCGGCUAUCACUUUUGGAUGGUCCCGCGGCGUAUUAGCUAGAUGGUGGGGUAACGGCUCACCAUGGCAAUGAUACGUAGCCGACCUGAGAGGGUAAUCGGCCACAUUGGGACUGAGACACGGCCCAAACUCCUACGGGAGGCAGCAGUAGGGAAUCUUCCACAAUGGACGAAAGUCUGAUGGAGCAACGCCGCGUGAGUGAAGAAGGGUUUCGGCUCGUAAAACUCUGUUGUUAAAGAAGAACAUAUCUGAGAGUAACUGUUCAGGUAUUGACGGUAUUUAACCAGAAAGCCACGGCUAACUACGUGCCAGCAGCCGCGGUAAUACGUAGGUGGCAAGCGUUGUCCGGAUUUAUUGGGCGUAAAGCGAGCGCAGGCGGUUUUUUAAGUCUGAUGUGAAAGCCUUCGGCUCAACCGAAGAAGUGCAUCGGAAACUGGGAAACUUGAGUGCAGAAGAGGACAGUGGAACUCCAUGUGUAGCGGUGAAAUGCGUAGAUAUAUGGAAGAACACCAGUGGCGAAGGCGGCUGUCUGGUCUGUAACUGACGCUGAGGCUCGAAAGUAUGGGUAGCAAACAGGAUUAGAUACCCUGGUAGUCCAUACCGUAAACGAUGAAUGCUAAGUGUUGGAGGGUUUCCGCCCUUCAGUGCUGCAGCUAACGCAUUAAGCAUUCCGCCUGGGGAGUACGGCCGCAAGGCUGAAACUCAAAGGAAUUGACGGGGGCCCGCACAAGCGGUGGAGCAUGUGGUUUAAUUCGAAGCUACGCGAAGAACCUUACCAGGUCUUGACAUACUAUGCAAAUCUAAGAGAUUAGACGUUCCCUUCGGGGACAUGGAUACAGGUGGUGCAUGGUUGUCGUCAGCUCGUGUCGUGAGAUGUUGGGUUAAGUCCCGCAACGAGCGCAACCCUUAUUAUCAGUUGCCAGCAUUAAGUUGGGCACUCUGGUGAGACUGCCGGUGACAAACCGGAGGAAGGUGGGGAUGACGUCAAAUCAUCAUGCCCCUUAUGACCUGGGCUACACACGUGCUACAAUGGAUGGUACAACGAGUUGCGAACUCGCGAGAGUAAGCUAAUCUCUUAAAGCCAUUCUCAGUUCGGAUUGUAGGCUGCAACUCGCCUACAUGAAGUCGGAAUCGCUAGUAAUCGCGGAUCAGCAUGCCGCGGUGAAUACGUUCCCGGGCCUUGUACACACCGCCCGUCACACCAUGAGAGUUUGUAACACCCAAAGUCGGUGGGGUAACCUUUUAGGAACCAGCCGCCUAAGGUGGGACAGAUGAUUAGGGGAAGUCGA
Molecule: ribosomal RNA, 1496 nt
Filed under: Lactiplantibacillus pentosus
Lineage: Bacteria; Bacillati; Bacillota; Bacilli; Lactobacillales; Lactobacillaceae
Description: bacterial SSU rRNA
Rfam family: Bacterial small subunit ribosomal RNA
Source: RNAcentral